Molecule: long non-coding RNA, 204 nt
Filed under: Mytilus galloprovincialis (Mediterranean mussel)
Lineage: Eukaryota; Metazoa; Mollusca; Bivalvia; Mytilida; Mytilidae
Source: RNAcentral
GUUGGUCAGUUAUCAUUAUCGUAAGCUUCUAAUAUGUAUUGAAGUUUUGACUUCCGGUUCGUUUUUGAAUUAACUGAUUGAUUAUAAUUAUAUUUCAAAUUGGAGAUACAGUAUAAUUCAUUUGAAUAAAAUUUAUUGUUUUAUUUUUCAUUUAUUGCUGUCACUUGUCCAGUCUUUAGAGUUACCUAUUAAGAUAAUACUUUG